AUGUAGCAACGCCGCCUGAGGGACGAAGGCCUCCGUGUUGUAAACCUCUUUUUUGGGCGAAGAGCGAGGCCGGUACCUCAGCAAUAAGUCUCGGCUAACUACGUUACAGCAGCCGCGGCAACACGCAGGAGGCGAGCGUUAUCCGGAUUUACUAGGCGUAAAGCGCAUGCAGGGGGUUUCGUGAGUCGGGUGGGAAAGCUCCUAGUUUAACUGGGAG
RNAcentral lists this ribosomal RNA (217 nucleotides) under uncultured bacterium. RNAcentral's name for it is "partial 16S ribosomal RNA". It matches the Rfam family "Bacterial small subunit ribosomal RNA", at positions 386 to 619 of the family's 1533-position model. The record is from RNAcentral.